GUCUCAAAGAUUAAGCCAUGCAUGUCUAAGUAUAAGCAAUCUAUACGGUGAAACUGCGAAUGGCUCAUUAAAUCAGUUAUCGUUUAUUUGAUAGUACCUUACUACAUGGAUAACCGUGGUAAUUCUAGAGCUAAUACAUGCUAAAAACCCCGACUUCGGAAGGGGUGUAUUUAUUAGAUAAAAAACCAGCGCCCUUCGGGGCUCCUUGGUGAUUCAUGAUAACUCAACGAAUCGCAUGGCCUUGCGCCGGCGAUGGUUCAUUCAAAUUUCUGCCCUAUCAACUUUCGAUGGUAGGAUAGUGGCCUACCAUGGUAUCAACGGGUAACGGGGAAUUAGGGUUCUAUUCCGGAGAGGGAGCCUGAGAAACGGCUACCACAUCCAAGGAAGGCAGCAGGCGCGCAAAUUACCCAAUCCCGACACGGGGAGGUAGUGACAAUAAAUACUGAUACAGGGCUCUUUCGGGUCUUGUAAUUGGAAUGAGUACAAUUUAAAUCCCUUAACGAGGAACAAUUGGAGGGCAAGUCUGGUGCCAGCAGCCGCGGUAAUUCCAGCUCCAAUAGCGUAUAUUAAAGUUGUUGCAGUUAAAAAGCUCGUAGUUGAACCUUGGGCCUGGCUGGCCGGUCCGCCUCACCGCGUGUACUGGUCCGGCCGGGCCUUUCCUUCUGGGGAGCCGCAUGCCCUUCACUGGGCGUGCCGGGGAACCAGGACUUUUACUUUGAAAAAAUUAGAGUGUUCAAAGCAGGCCUUUGCUCGAAUACAUUAGCAUGGAAUAAUAGAAUAGG
Molecule: ribosomal RNA, 782 nt
Filed under: Saxomyces sp.
Lineage: Eukaryota; Fungi; Ascomycota; Dothideomycetes
Description: SSU rRNA
Rfam family: Eukaryotic small subunit ribosomal RNA
Source: RNAcentral